AGUCAUAACUGCUAUUCCCUAUAAAUAGUGAUUGUGAUGAGCGGUGCGGGUGUGCGCCAACACAUCCGCAUCGCGCU
This 77-nucleotide antisense RNA is filed under the name Escherichia coli. Its description in RNAcentral is "SymR antitoxin". It matches the Rfam family "SymR antitoxin". Lineage: Bacteria; Pseudomonadati; Pseudomonadota; Gammaproteobacteria; Enterobacterales; Enterobacteriaceae. The record is from RNAcentral.